AGUGAACGCUGGCGGUAGGCCUAACACAUGCAAGUCGAACGGCAGCACAGUAAGAGCUUGCUCUUACGGGUGGCGAGUGGCGGACGGGUGAGGAAUGCAUCGGAAUCUACUUUUUCGUGGGGGAUAACGUAGGGAAACUUACGCUAAUACCGCAUACGACCUACGGGUGAAAGCAGGGGAUCUUCGGACCUUGCGCGAUUGAAUGAGCCGAUGUCGGAUUAGCUAGUUGGCGGGGUAAAGGCCCACCAAGGCGACGAUCCGUAGCUGGUCUGAGAGGAUGAUCAGCCACACUGGAACUGAGACACGGUCCAGACUCCUACGGGAGGCAGCAGUGGGGAAUAUUGGACAAUGGGCGCAAGCCUGAUCCAGCCAUACCGCGUGGGUGAAGAAGGCCUUCGGGUUGUAAAGCCCUUUUGUUGGGAAAGAAAAGCAGCAGGUUAAUACCCCGCUGUUCUGACGGUACCCAAAGAAUAAGCACCGGCGAACUUCGU
Molecule: ribosomal RNA, 491 nt
Filed under: uncultured bacterium
Lineage: Bacteria
Description: partial 16S ribosomal RNA
Rfam family: Bacterial small subunit ribosomal RNA
Source: RNAcentral